RNAcentral lists this non-coding RNA (952 nucleotides) under Pan troglodytes (chimpanzee). The record is from RNAcentral. Lineage: Eukaryota; Metazoa; Chordata; Mammalia; Primates; Hominidae.
AUAAUGCAAGUGUUUAACAGAUGCUUCACUAUUAAAAUAUUUCCCCCCCAAGUCUCAAAUAUUGAAGAAUCUCUAACCAGGGACACCAGUCCCUACGAAGACCUUGGGCGAUUUUGAAGUGCGGGCACCUCGAUUCCCCGAAUCUGUAGUGUGGCUGGUAUCGGUGUUCCCCUGGUUUAACUAGCCUGUUUGUGGAAGUGACUCUGACCGUUCCCGUAAGAAUCUUUAAUGCUCUUACAUGAGAUGAGCCUCAGAACAAGCUAAGAACCCUCGAAAGGACAUCAAGCCUGGAAGGUGACAGAAGGAGCAAUGUGUUCUUGAAGAUGUCACCUCAGCCCACCUGCUCCAAGGACAGUGCUUCUUGCGACACUCUGAUAGCUCUGCAUUCUUUUCUGUACCAGGAAGGCACAGAUCAUUCAUGGGGAAGUAUAACCGAAACCAGUCCUCUCCACCCCCUGGGGAUCUUCACUUUCCCAGUCUACAACUGCCUGUGACUCCAGAAAGACAAACUGCAGAUUGGCCAAGAUGGGGAAAUUGAGGCAGAGAAGCCAAGACAUGCGCUAAAGGUCCAUGCAGGCUAUGAAUGGAGCUGGAAUGUAAACGCAGGCCAUGUGACUCCAGAGCCCAUGUUCUUGAACCCUUAGAAAGACAGCAGCAACACACCUGGUGCAGCAGCUGCUUAGUUGGAGUGGCUGACAAGAGAUCCUGGCAAAUGGGUGUUUCUUCUCAGAAAGGGAUUUUUCUCCAUGACUGCAGUUGAAUUACAAAGUUGUAGAGACAUCCAGGUUCUUGUUAGUGUGGACGAACUAUCCAUGAAGAUCUUAAAUGCAGGAGUCUAUGAGAACACCAAUUAAUCAAUUGUCAAAUAUUUGAGUAUCUAUUGUGAGCAAGGCACUGUAUAACCAUUAUGUCAUGUAUUAAUCUAUUGGAAAAUAAUUUGACCUUGCUUGUA